UGCGUAGACGGUUAUUUAAGUCGGGUGUGAAAGCCCCGGGCUCAACCUGGGAAUUGCAUUCGAGACUGAAUAGCUAGGGUACGGUAGAGGGAAGCGGAAUUUCCGGUGUAGCGGUGAAAUGCGUAGAUAUCGGAGGGAACAUCAGUGGCGAAAGCGGCUUCCUGGACCAGUACCGACGUUCAGGCACGAAAGCGUGGGGAGGCAAAACA
This 209-nucleotide ribosomal RNA is filed under the name uncultured bacterium. RNAcentral describes it as "partial 16S ribosomal RNA". It matches the Rfam family "Bacterial small subunit ribosomal RNA", at positions 568 to 776 of the family's 1533-position model. The record is from RNAcentral.